CCGAGAUGAUCAUGGCCCAGUGGCCAUGCCUUGCGACAAAGUUCACCUUGGCAUCAAGGGUUCAAUCUCUCCUCUGCUCCAAUGGAAGGAGCCUCCCCUUCUUGGGGUUAAUGGGCUAACGGGCCGGCCCGUUGUGGCCCGAAGUUGACAAAAAAAAAGAUAUAAGGGAGACUUUUCUGGAAAAACAUGGAAGCUAUAGGUACACAUAAAUCUGUAGUAGAGUAUAAAAACGAUUAUGAAAAGACAAAAUACUGAAUUUAAAAUGUUGUUAACAAGUAAAAUUUCGUUAGAAUAAAUUUAAUAUUAUGUUACUUCACUUUUUAUAUUAUCAUCGUGAGUAUAUGACACAUAUUUUUUGCUUUAAGUAUUUUUUGUUUUGUUUUGAGAAAAGACUUAAUGUAAAAAAAUUGUUUUCAAAAAAUUCGUAUUGAUAAUUUUGUGUUUUGAAAUCCGUUAAAUAAAACUGAUAAGAAAAUAAAAUAUGUCAAGGGCACUCGCUUAUAUAUAUAUACACAUUUGCUACAAAUACUAAUAUUUCAUAUUUUGGCGGAGAAUGAACUCUGAUUUAUCACCAACUAUGGGAAUUUAUUAAUGUUAUAUUUAGAAGUUGCUCAAAAAAAAUAAUGUUAUGUUUAGCAUAAGAUUUGCAACAUGACCAAUCAUAUUUUGGUCAAAAGAACCAAUCAUAUCCCGAGACCAUCAGCUGAUAUGACGUCAUGUUGUAGCAAAACAAGAUAAGAAAAAGUUGCUCAAGAGGGAGGACACGUGCAUGAAGAAGAGCUUUUCACAUGUCACAUGCAAACACUUUUGUUUCCAAGGAUUUUCUUGAAUUUUUUUUAUGAACUUAAAUUUACAAGUAGUUAACUUUAUAUUAUAGUAACAGAUGAAAUAUUUUUUCAUACGAUUGUCAUAUAUUGACACAUAUAAUAUUUUGUUUGCAGUAGCAACUUUGAAUCAGAAAAUGGAGGUGAUGUGCUUAAUGUCAAUUUUGUUUCUGUUUCUGGAUUUAGCAUAAGUAUCCAUUUGGUUGACAGAUUAUUUGGACAAAUUCCAUUAAAGGCAUUUAAAUUUAGUUGACAGAAACGUCAUUUAAAAAUUCAUUUUAUAGAUUACAUAUACUGUUUUUAACAAAAAAAUGUUUUAAUCAUAUACCAAAAUUUCGGCGACACUUAUUUGUCAUAUAUACAGGUGUCUUCUACGAUCUUAUGAAAGUAUAAGAAGAAAAAAAUCUCUUACAUACUUGUAUUUACGAUGUUUUUUUUUUUUUUUUUGCUUAAAUUUGGUUGUAUUUACGAUGUUUGAACAUGCCAUACAGACUUUAUCCUUUUACUGAUUUGAUACUUUAAAAUUUCUUUUAUUGAUUCUUUGCUCUAGUCAUGAUCUCAGCUGCACUCCUUUCUUCCUCCAAGUUUUGUACUUUUCCCUCGGAUAAUACAGUUGUUGAGUAGUGGAAGUCAUCACCGACGAUUCCAACUUCAAAGAACCGAUAGCGUUACCCAUUCUCAGAUCAGAAUGAUCCCAAGUAUAUGUGUGAAUAUAUACACACAUGAAAUGGUUUGGUUUGUAUUGUAUUGAGUUCGUUAAACGGUUCCAUCCUUUACUUUAUCGAUUGUUCAUUCAUAUAUACAAACUAAAUAGUAUAUAAUAAACGUAAAAAAAAAAAACAUUUGUUUUCUUAUUCCAUAAACGAAUAUCUAAGUAAAUACAAAUUCGUUUUGAAGGGAAAAUUAUAGAGUAAACUAAUUUGAACGUUUGAUCUUUGAGAAAUUUCAGAAAGUUUAUAUGUUUGAUUGGUAUGAGAAAAUAAGAAAAGUCUCCAAAUUAACUACUUACAUGUUCUGUCGUUAGCAUAUGCUAUUAAUAUUAAUUAUCAUCAGCUGUUGGAUUUGUAUUUUUGUUCGUAGUUGGUAAUAGACUAAAUCAAAUAUCAAUGCAUAUGUCAAUGUAAAGUAGUAUAAAACGAUGGCAGAUGAAAUUGAAAAUAAAAACUGAUUGGAAUGAACGACUUUUUUCCAUCUCAUUGGAUCCCUUCUUAUAUUUCUGCAGGAAACGGCGAACAGCCGCGGCGUAAGAGCAUCAUUAACCCUAUAAUCUUUAUGGGUUUUUUAAUUUUUUUUUUCCUUUUUGUUUGAUUAAAAAAAAAUUAAUUAAAAGGCGAAUCAAUCGCAGAUCGCCACGUUUCAGUGUGGUCCGCAAACAGUGCAAAAAUCCCAUAAAGAUCAAUCCUUAUUUUGUUGUUUCUAUCAUCGGUUUUUAUAAUUUUCGGUGGAGUCCGCCACUAGUUUUGGUUAAGAAACCCUUUUAAAUCCUACGAUAAUCAUGGUCUAAUUGUUGUUUGGUGGAGCUUCCUGAUUAUACAAUAAAUAACUUUUUAUAAAAAUAAACGAAAAAAUCAGCUAUAUUAAUUUUCAGAACUGUAGGCUCUCUUUAUUGUUCACUAUUCUGAAAAAAGGUUUAAAUUGUGAUGGCUGUGUGCAUUUAAAUUGAAUACUGUUUAAUGAUAUUAUGUUGUUACUUUCUCUAUUAUCUUAUUUUGUAAAUUCAAAGUAGUGUCUACUGAAUAUAUUCAACAUUUAAUUUCCAAAUGCUUUGUUUGUAAAAUCUAGAUACAUAUUUUUUUUUUGUCAUCAGAUACAUGUUUAUAAUGUAGAUUUUAAUGUUUUUUUUGGUAUUUACUACUAAUCAAAUUAAUAGCAUAUUUGAAAUAUUGAUAAACUACGUGCAACAUAUAUGAUAUUAAUAAACAACUUUACGGACAAUGUUUUACGAAAUAUAUUUUUCUCUAAUAUUUGAUUGACGGACGAUUUUGUAUUUACGACAUUCUUGAUGAAUAUAUAAUAUUCACAACAUACAAUCAUAAUGAACGGUUGUGCUUGUUGCACUCAAAAACUUAUAAACUUUACACCAUAUAAUCUAUAAAAAAAAAUAUAUAUUCUGUGAAUCAAAUUUUAAACUUGGUGUAAAAAAAUUAAAUAACUAUCCACUAAAUUACGAGUCCUCCCGGAAAAACAGAAAUGAUAUGAUGUAUUCAGUGUUAACAUAUAUAUAUAUGCGUGUGUGUGUGUGUGAAAUGUAAUACAAAUUGAGAUGAAUGAAGUAUUUGACGAUUAUAUUUAUCCCAGAGAGAUUAGUCGAACCUCAACCAGUUGCAUGUUUUUUUUUAUUAAAAUAAAAUGAAAUUUUACAUAGAUGUGAAAGUAAUCUUAUGAGUGGUUCCAUUAGUUGCACUGAUUUCUGAUUUAUUCGUUAGUUGUACGCAACUAUAUAUUGACUUGACCAUAAUCGUUUUGUUGUGAUAUUAACUAAAAUCUAAAGUAGUGAGAUAUUAACCCUUCUGAUGAGAUCGCAUCAACUGGUAACUUGCUGUUUAAGCUAUUUAGUUAACUAAAAUAGAUAUAUAAAUGUAAUCUCUUUAAUUCUCAAUGUGUUAAGAGUGUCAAAUGACGAAAACUUGUUGUGAAUCCCUAAAGAUUCCCUUAUCCAAAUUUCACCCACAUUCACAUGAUAAUGUAUUUUUAUUAUCAUGCUAGAUCGCUGCAUUUACUUUUGGGAGUUUAGGCUUUAAUAUUUUUGCUCGUCUAGACACUAACUUAACCAUAAUUAGAUAUAAGGGGGACUGCCGAGAUGAUCAUGGCCCAGUGGCCAUGCCUUGCGACAAAGUUCACCUUGGCAUCAAGGGUUCAAUCUCUCCUCUGCUCCAAUGGAAGGAGCCUCCCCUUCUUGGGGUUAAUGGGCUAACGGGCCGGCCCGUUGUGGCCCGAAGUUGACAAAAAAAAAGAUAUAAGGGAGACUUUUCUGGAAAAACAUGGAAGCUAUAGGUACACAUAAAUCUGUAGUAGAGUAUAAAAACGAUUAUGAAAAGACAAAAUACUGAAUUUAAAAUGUUGUUAACAAGUAAAAUUUCGUUAGAAUAAAUUUAAUAUUAUGUUACUU
RNAcentral lists this long non-coding RNA (3933 nucleotides) under Brassica napus (rape). RNAcentral describes it as "long non-coding RNA (BNAP_LNC013360)". Lineage: Eukaryota; Viridiplantae; Streptophyta; Magnoliopsida; Brassicales; Brassicaceae. The record is from RNAcentral.